GACGAACGCUGGCGGCGCGCUUAACACAUGCAAGUCGAACGGAAAAGCCCUGCUUUUGUGGGGUGCUCGAGUGGCGAACGGGUGAGUAACACGUGAGUAACCUGCCCCUGACUUUGGGAUAACUUCAGGAAACUGGGGCUAAUACCGGAUAGGAGCUCCUGCUGCAUGGUGGGGGUUGGAAAGCUUCGGCGGUUGGGGAUGGACUCGCGGCUUAUCAGCUUGUUGGUGGGUAGUGGCUUACCAAGGCUUUGACGGGUAGCCGGCCUGAGAGGGUGACCGGCCACAUUGGGACUGAGAUACGGCCCAGACUCCUACGGGAGGCAGCAGUGGGGAAUAUUGCACUAUGGGCGGAAGCCUGAUGCAGCAACGCCGCGUGCGGGAUGACGGCCUUCGGGUUGUAAACCGCUUUCGCCUGUGACGAAGCGUGAGUGACGGUAAUGGGUAAAGAAGCACCGGCUAACUACGUGCCAGCAGCCGCCGCAG
Molecule: ribosomal RNA, 483 nt
Filed under: uncultured bacterium
Lineage: Bacteria
Description: partial 16S ribosomal RNA
Rfam family: Bacterial small subunit ribosomal RNA
Source: RNAcentral